AGCACUUGCUGUCGGUGAUGACAGAGCACAGCUCAGCUCAGCCAGAAGGGAGGAAAUCGUGUGAAUCUCGUCCCUAAGCAAGAAAGAGAAAUGGGUCGGGGCAGCCUGGGAGAGUUCUAGAACCUGGAGGGGAACUGACUGUGCCUAGCCUAGGUAAAUGCUUCAAACAUGAGGAGUCCUGUCCCUACUGCCCCUAAGACCAGAGACAUUUUCUCUCUGAGGUCUGAGCCCAGCUAUCGCUGAAUGGCCUGAUUCUCAUGAAAAUGUGGAGAUAGAAAACAUCUGGGGUGGCUGUGGUUGCCAGGCAACAACCAGCCAUUCACUCUCUUGCCAGAAUCAAGGAGGCUGUCUGAUGCUGACAGAGAUAGCUGCAUCUGAGGCCUGGAGACCUAGAUUUUGGUUCUGAUUUGCUGUGUGGUCUGGGCAAGUCCCUGCCUUUCUCUGAGCCUUCAUUUCCCAUUUUUUAUGUAAAGAGCAGUCAGACUUACAAGUGGCAAUAUGAGCAGGCAUCAGAUGGUCAGAAUUAGAGUGAUAGUGUGGCACAGGCAGAGGACCAGGGCAGGUCAUGGGUGAGGGAAGACUCAGUUCUCCUUUCCAUCCUGCCCUAGGCUAUCCUGACUCUGGUUACUAGCUAGGGGCAAGGGACAUUUCCUUUCCCACCCUGAGCUAAUUCAGGCCACCCAGACUCCAUCCCAGGCUCACCCUUGCAGCUCAGAGUCUAGGAAUUGUCUUCAUACCCACAAAUUAGCACAGCCACCACCUACUUGGCCAACUUUUCCCCAUGGGGAAUUUCCUCAGUUCCUGCUGAAGUGAAGCUACCCAGCUUUGGGUGUUUCCCUGGACACCCAUCAGAGGACCUUCUGACAGUUUGCAGAGAUUGCAUUGAUGGUAAACCCUGAGGAUGGUGUGUUUCGCAGCAAUCAGCAGAGUUAACAUUUUCUAUUUCACAUCCAUUACAAAAUAUGACAGAAGCUGCCAUUUGCUGGGCCUGGCACAGCCUCAAAUGCUUUAUGUCUGUAAUCUCAUUUAAUCCUCAUACAAUCCAGGGGGAUAGGAAUGUAGGUCCUAUUGUACAGAUGAGGAAAUGGAGCCUCAGAGAGGAGAAGUGAUUUGCCCAAGGUCCCAGUAAAUGGUGCAGGCAGGACUCCCACUCAGGGCCACAGUCUGGGGUUUAACCACUACAGGACACUGCUUCCUCACAGUCCCACCAGACAGCAUCAGAGCUGGAAGGGCUCCACCUGCUCCCAACUUUACAGAUGGACAAAUCGAGGCCCAGAGGGAAGAAGUGACUGGCCCAAGGUCAUGUAACAAGUCAAUGCUAGAGCAGAUUCUAGGACUGCUCUGCUAAAAGGCUCACCACACCAUUCCAGAAAACAAAAAGUGCCUCAGGCAGAAGCAGUGGAUAUACCAGAAAUCUCAUUUUAAGAAAUCCAUAGCAUUUCCUAGGAAGUCAAACAGUGCAUGAGGUUCACAAGACAAGGAUCUUGCAGAGGUUCUUGAGGUUAGGGCAGAGUCCCAGCAUUCCUCUAGGCAGUAAGGGGCCUGUGGGUGUCACUCUUUUGGUCCUACAGAUGAAGCUGCAACUCCAGCUACUGGCGGAGGUGAUAUGUAUGUCCAGAAUGUUCUCGACUGCCUUGCCUAGCUAAUGCCUACCUGUCUUCAAGUGUUAGUUAGAAGUCACUUCCUCUGGGAAGGCCUCUGUGAACCCCUAAGCUUGCCCCACUGUAGAUUCUCAUGGCCCUAGCUCUUUUCCAUAAGAGCACUGUCCUCGGUUUGCCCUGUGGACUCACAUCAGAGGCACAUUUAACUAACACCAGCUUUACAACUUAUCCUCCAACCACCCAACUCCAAAGAUGCCACCCCAGAAUUUGGUAUUAUCCUCACAAAACCAAACUCACCUUUUAGCAUGCGCUAAGCUGAUAAUGCUGAAUAUAGAAACAGAUUGGAGUCACCCCUGCAGAUACCAGGAGCACUCCUGAAUUCUCUGCUCAAUCUCAAUGCAUCCCUAGAGAUGGGGUCAUUUUCUUAAAGGCAGAGAGGCUUCAAUGUCCAGGUAUCUCAAGACAGCCUUUCCUUCAGUUACUUAUUUUAGCAUACAAAAGAAUUUGAAGAUGGAAGAGGGGACCACCAGCCAAGGAAUGCAGCCCAAGAAGCUCGAAAAGUUAUGAAAACCAAUUCUCAUUGAGCAUACAAAAUAAUUGAGCAUACAAAAGAAUUAUUGUGCAGUACAGGUAAUUUAAGAGCUUUAUUUUAUUUUAUUUUUUGAGACGGAGUCUCGCUCUGUUGCCCAGGCUGGAGUGCAAUGGCACGAUCUUGGCUCACUGCAACCUCUGCUUCCCAGGUUCAAGCAAUUCUCCUGCCUCAGCCUCCCGAGUAGCUGGGAUUACAGGCGCCCAUCACCAUGCCCAGCUAAUUUUUAUAUUUUUAAUAGAGACGGGGUUUCACCGUGUUGACCAGGCUGGUCUCAAACUCCUGACUUCAGGUGAUCCGCCCACCUUGGCCUCCCAAAGUGCUGGGAUUACAGGCAUGAGCCACUGUGCCUGGCCUAGAAUCUUUGUUUCUGUUUAUUAAUUGAGAAAAGGAAGUAACCAUUUUAGUUAAACAUGAACUUCAGAGUCAGAAAGAUCUUGGUUCAACUUCUUCCCUGAGAAAACACCAAAGUGCAGAUGACUGGUGCAGAGAGAGGACUCAGAGGCCCUUGGGGCCCUGGAAUGGGAGGUCAUAGUGGUUUCCACGGAGGCUUUGGCAGUGGCAUUGGGGCCUGGAUAGUGGUUGGGGUCAGGGCCUGGGCCAUGGAGCUUGCAGAGGCAAGGAUGAAGAUGAGGAAUGGAUGCCUGUCACCAAGUUGGGCUACCUGGUCAAGGACAUGAAGAUCAAGUCCCUGGAGGAAAUCUAGCCCUUCUCCUUGACCAUCGAGGAGUCUGAGAUCAUUGACUUUUUCCUGGGGGCAUCUCUCAAGGAUGAGGUUUUGAAGACCACGCCCGUGCAAAAGCAGACCUGCGCUGACCAGCAUACCAGGUUCAAGAAACCUGUGUUUGCAUUUCAGAUGUCUCUUAACUUACUGAGGAAAUCAUUACCAACCUCACUGGGUGGACAGGAGGAUGAACAGGAGAACUUCAGCAAAUUGUAGUUCUUGUUCUAUCCCUGAACUAACCCAACAUUCAAAGUCACUCAUCUGAUGCUUCCCACCUGGCACCCUGCACUUGUAUGUAUUUUUCCAUUCAUAUUCAUUUCUGCCUCUUCAUCUAGAUUACACAGCAACAAUGUAAAUUAAUGACUACUCAAGAGUCAGACAGACAUGAGUUCAAAUCCUACCUUUGCUACUUACUACAUGUGUGUCCUGAGGCAAGAUAAAGCCUCUGAGCUCAGUUUCUCUGUCAGUAAAAAGGACCUAUCUCCUAGUGUUAUAGGAUUAAAUCAGAUGAUACAUGUAAAAUCUUUAGCUUGGGGGUCUGUCACGUAACUGAGCAAUGGGUGACUAUGUUGUAAUUAUUACACCCUCCUGACAUGCACACGGUAGGAGAAAAAUCUAACCUGGGGCAGUAGAUAGCAGCAGAAAGAGCAGGAGCUUUGGAGUCAUUCAGAUGCAAGCUCUGUAAAUUACUUGCUAUGUAGCCUAGAGAACAAGCCAUUCAAACUUCAGUUUCUCCAACUGUAAAAGGGGAAAUAAGAGUGUGGGUCUCAGAGAUGUUGCAAGUAUCACUGCAAUGACAUAACUGAUGCAUCUGACCCAUAAGACUGCCUAAGCGUGCCUGGCCUCGAAGAAUUGGGCAUAAGUUUGACACAUGGAAGAAAUGAGGAGGGGUUGGCAAAAAAACCAAGAAACAUACCUUUGGUUUUGACCACACCGAAGGAGCAUCCAACCCCAAAAGGGAGGCAAGGAAAUAAAGUUAUUUAAAUAAAAUAACAAACCCAGGUAUUAUAGAUGUUUUAAAACAUUACAUUGAUGCAAAAGCGAGUAGUUUUGAAAUAUUUAACUACUUUAGUUAAAAGUGAGGAGUUUUAAAAGGAAACAUUAUUUCAGUCAUGCAACAUAAAGCACAUAAAAUACUGAGUUACGCAGGUAUAACAAAGUAUAGCAGGAAGAAAACAAACAUUACUGAGCAGGCACUAGGCACUAACCCCAGGUUAGGGAUUUUACAUGUAAGAUUGCAAACAUCUGCCAGUGGGAGCCAAGCAGGCAAUGCAACUGUAUGAAAUGAGUCAAAUGUAAGCAAUGGGCAGUGAAGAGGACCGUGCAGGGGACAGGAAGACACACAGACCAUCCAAAGCAGCAAUGCCACACAACUGCAAGUGACUGCUGCCACACUGGAAUGGAGGCAUCACUGCCAGGUCUUCUGGUUUCUCAAGAGAAACUGGAGCUCUGGAUUUUUAAGAGAAAUUGCAUAACCGAAAACGCUCUGUGGUCAACCUACUAUUUUGAAAGCUGACAAAGAGAAUAAAUCAAGCAUUUAUCCUGA
Molecule: long non-coding RNA, 4460 nt
Filed under: Homo sapiens (human)
Lineage: Eukaryota; Metazoa; Chordata; Mammalia; Primates; Hominidae
Description: HSALNT0291266
Source: RNAcentral